AAGGUGGUAUCGCUUGUAAGCGAACCGCACUUGCCGGGCAAGUAACGACUACGAAUGCAAUCGAAUACCGUCAAUGAUUCGCGGCGGAUUCUGCUCAGAGCCGAAGGGACCGAGACAGAAGG
This is a non-coding RNA of Cohnella sp., 122 nucleotides long. Lineage: Bacteria; Bacillati; Bacillota; Bacilli; Caryophanales; Paenibacillaceae. The record is from Rfam.